CGGCGAGUCCCUGGGGCCAAAAAGACGCACAGCGUCCAAUCGUGCGAAGAGGAAGGAUCGCAUGCGCUUAGUUCAAACUGCUUACUAAAAUUAUUUAAAAUGUUCAGUUGAUAGGCAUGGAAGAAAGACAAGGUCUAGGCAUAAAACAACUUUAGCCACCAAGCCAGGCAUCAAGCUAGGAGGAACAAAGGAAAGCCAUCUGCUCUGCCCCUCACUGAUGUAAGAACAUUGAAAGAGUCAGAGUUGGAUCUGGGGCCAGUGGGAAAAUUCCCAUCACAAACCUCUGAGUACAAGGACCCGUCCCAUCCAGGAAGAAAAGGUUGGUUUAGUUCUUGGAACAGCUGCAAGCCAAACUGUUACAUAAAGCUACCUGUGGCUUCCAACUGACUCCCACCUUGGGAAAGUCUUGAAUGAUACACUGAGUCUGACAUGAAAGUUGUUUUGCUCCACCAAAUAUGCAUAGCACUCUGCCUCGUUACCAUUGUGCAAAUCCUGCCCCAAUUGUUUGAAUUCUGCCCCAAUAGUUUGCAACUCUUUGUUAGAGUCUGUCUGCUCAGGGUCAUCUCCCCUUGAAGUGGGAUGGCCCCAACAAGUCGGAAUUAAACUCCUCUUCCUUUUGCAUCGA
This is a non-coding RNA of Rattus norvegicus (Norway rat), 625 nucleotides long. The record is from RefSeq and is a predicted model, not a curated record. NCBI's taxonomy places the organism in Eukaryota, Metazoa, Chordata, Mammalia, Rodentia, Muridae.